RNAcentral lists this long non-coding RNA (1155 nucleotides) under Apteryx owenii (little spotted kiwi). RNAcentral describes it as "lncRNA (ENSAOWG00000011872.1)". The record is from RNAcentral. Lineage: Eukaryota; Metazoa; Chordata; Aves; Apterygiformes; Apterygidae.
GAGCUGCAGCCAUCAGGCUUAGCCAUUCUCAUCUUUGUUCUUCUUCCCAGAACAAGGAAAGUCUUCUCACGCUGCUGUGUCUCCUCCUAGACAUCUCUCUUGUCCCUAGGCAUUUCCUGCUUUGGCUACAUCACCUACUUCUAUCACUCAAGGGGAAAUACCAUAGGAGAGAGGAGCAGGCCCUGAUGUGGCAGAAAACAAAAUUUUGUGAAGAAGUAAAGCAGCAAGAUCUCCCUUGCAAGAACAGAUCACUUGCCAAUAAACUGAGCUAAGAUGUUCAGUUCUGUUGCUGGUUGUGCUAUUGCAGCAAAUGUUUGUAACCCAGCAUCAAACACCUUACCUACUUUGGACAGAAAUGGGGGAAACAGGGCCUGUAAUCCUGACUCAGCACAGACACUGAACCACUGGGAGCCAGAGAGCAGAGCUGAGCUUCCUCCCACUGAGGGGAAAACCUGUGCAAAGGCUGCCUGCAGAGAGGAAAAUGCUGGCAGAUUCUUCUCUCUUAGUUCCCUGUAAGUUCUUCCAGCAGGGGAGAGGGUCUCUUUUCCUCAGACCUGAGGGGCAGCAAGUAGGGACAGAAGGAGAAGCUAACUGGGAGCCGGUUCUUGGUCUCUAAUGCUCACCCCAAGCUCUGUAGCAUUAUGAUCUCAAGGCAGCUAAUAAGAGGAUAGUUUGGCUUCCAGAAAUAUGAAAGACAUUUAAUUUGAGUUGUCUUUGUCAAUGACCUGCAUUUCUUGGUUAUCUGUCCAGUCAGAGCAAAAAUAGUGUAGCUUUUCCCAAAGGUGGAACCACCGGAAUGAAAGGAAAGAGAAGGAAAUAAUCCACCUUCUUAGAGCAGAAGGAAUUAUUUGGCAAAAAAGACAUUAUACAAGAAGAAUCUACAAGCUUUGGAGGACAUCAAGCAUCAUUUUAAGGCUUACAUGAGCUGAAGGGAGCCAUCCUGGAAACAACUCAAAGAAAUUUGAAUCUCUAUCAUCUAAAAACUCAGGAAUGCAUCUUAAAUUCAUUCCAUAUCCUGGAGCUGAUAGUCAGAUUCAUUACCGCAAAUGUGAAACAAAGCUUUUAACAAAGCUUUUGAUCAGUGUUUAGUGCUCAGCUUUGUUUGUUUUCCAAAGAGCAUGAAGCUUUUACAAGCUAUAUAUAAGUUUCUGUUUU